Molecule: long non-coding RNA, 755 nt
Organism: Rhincodon typus (whale shark)
Lineage: Eukaryota; Metazoa; Chordata; Chondrichthyes; Orectolobiformes; Rhincodontidae
Exons: 3
Source: RefSeq, a predicted model, not a curated record
ACACACUCUCCCUUUGAAUUUUCUGCAUUAAGCAGAAAACCAGCUUAUCUUUCUUCAGCAGAUGCUGCAAGUUAUAACUUUGAAUUAGACGAGUCAGGGACCUUCUCGAAAUGAACCAGCCACCCUGUGUUUCUUGCAAACCAGUGGAAGCACUCACAAGAAGAUAGAUCAAGGUGAAACCUUCGGAUUCGGAAGAACCAACCCAACAAAUCUUGUGAACAAAAAACACGGAACUAUUUUGUCAGUUUUCCCACUAUCCAGAGUGCCAGAAAACCAGAUGCCCGGAGUUACCCAGAUAUUUGCCCUCGUCACUCAAAUGCCAGAUGCCCGCUGAGGAAGUCAGGCAGCUUCAAGGGCAAAAUAUCAUGAGGUUAAACAGGUUUAAUUAACAGCAGGUGUUGUUCCUUAUACAGUGCUUUGAGCCAACCCUGACCAGAAGCAAGGCUCAGAGUGUUCUGGAGACGAGGUGCUGGUGCAGACUGGGUUGAAAGAACUGUAAAACUGAACAUUUUAUUUCUUUCUUUUUCUGACUUAUUUUUGUAGUUUUGUACUUUUCACCUAAGAUGGCACAAAAGUCUGUAAUGCUGGAAUUUUUAUUUCUUUUCUUUUUCCAAUUUUUUUUUCCUAAGAAUUUGUACUUAAGAAUCUGUACCUAGGUACCUUUGCCCCUAAGAUGGCACCGUAAGUACAGACUUGUAAAUUUUCACUGUACAUAUGAGUGCAUGUGACAAUAAACCUAGCUCCAAAAUAACAUA